This 2266-nucleotide long non-coding RNA is filed under the name Homo sapiens (human). RNAcentral describes it as "HSALNT0005835". The record is from RNAcentral. Lineage: Eukaryota; Metazoa; Chordata; Mammalia; Primates; Hominidae.
AGCCACCCCAAAACCAGAAUUUAUUUUUAAGCUGAGGUGGAAGGUCAGCUGCAGGGACACGCUGCCACCUCCCUUCUUGACAUGAGCCUCCUUGAGUUGGCACCAGGAUGUAGCAUGGCUCCCACCCUUGCUUCCCCUUUGGUUGGACACUCUCCAAUGCCAGGGUCAUGCACCAACAGAGCAGCUCCAAGAAAGAGCAUUUUCCAAAGCCCAGAUGACUCAGAGUGGUGAGUGUGACCGGAGGGGAGGUUCAGCACCCAGCUCAGACCUUUGUUUGGGAGUUAACGAUUCCUCCAUGCUGAUUUCACCUGCCUGUUCUAUCGUGCCCAGUGCGGUGAAAACAUCCCAGAUACUCUGUAUUACAAGGCCAGCUCUGCAAUUUUGCUGAGUAACUGUAGGCUGCUCACAUAAUCUUUCUGUAAUUCAAUGAGAUGACUGCAUUUGGAAAAGGUUGGAGCACCCACAUCACAAGCCGAUUCUGGGGGCGAACUGAGGUAAUGCUGUAAAGCACCUCCUAUGCACAGACCCAUGGAGCAUGGGAGUGGAUAUGAAGAUGCUCCCUCACCCCUUCCAGGAAGCUGGUAGCUGACAAGGACUCAGGCUCAGUCACUUCCAGCUGUGUGACCAUGCGUAGGUUUCUCAGCUUCCCUGAGCCUUGAUCAUCUCAUUUAUAAAGAACAAAAUACCCAACUGGAAAGGCUGGCGGUAGGAGUAAAUGCAACUGAAUAUGCAGAAGAGCGUGGCACACAGUAGUGACACAGACUCCCUGCUAGAAGACAAUGAAUGUUGUAAAAAGCAAGAAAAGGGAAAGAAGGCCAGGGGCAGUAGCAGGCGCCUGCAAUCCCAGCACUUUGGGAGGCCGAGGAAGAUGGAUCACCUGAGCUCAGGAGUUUGAGACCAGCCUGGCCAACAUGGCAAAACCCCAUCUCUACUAAAAAUACAAAAAAUUAGUCCAGUGUGGUGGCAGGCGUCUGUAAUCCCAGCUACUCGGGAGGCUGAGGUGGCAGAAUCGCUUGAACCCUGGAGGCAGUGGUUGCAGUGAGCCGAGAUCACGCCAUUGCACUCCAACCUGGGCGACAAGAGUGAAAUUCCAUCUCUUAAAAAAAAAAAAGGAAAGAAAAGUUGACACUUUUUGCGUUCACAAAUGCUACCCCAAAGAUGCACCGUGGUGUUCAGAGGAGGCUAACCAAGGACCGGAGGAGAGGCGAGGUGGUGUGGCUGUUCAGGAUCAGAGCACUGGAACCCAGCAGGACCGUGUGCCUAUCUCAGUUCCACCAUGCCAGAGCCGUGUGACCUGGGGCAGGUAGCAACGUCUCUGAGCCUCAGUCUCCUCACCCCCUCAUCCCUCCACCUCACAGGUGAAGAGUAACCCUGAGACACUGCCCUUAGCAAUGUGCCUCCCACGAAACACCCUGGAGCAUUGAUGGUGAUGAUGAAGGGGUGGAGGGAGGUGGUGGGUCCUACAGUAGAAGGGUGAAGGCAUCUCAGCCAGAAGGAGCUGGGUUCAAGUGCUAGCUCACCCCCUGUCUGGCUGGGUCCCCUUAGACGAGUAACUUUACUUCUCCAAGCCUCUCGCUCCUCAUCCGGGAAAAUAGAGACGAUGAUACCUUCCUCACAAAGUGGUUGGGAGGAUUCACUGAAUGGGUGGCAUGAAAGUCCCCAGCACGGUGACAUCUCCCUCAGCAGAUGUUUCUGCUCUGUCCCUUCACAUGUGGCAUGAGCUCCUGUGUCUCCCUGUCAACGAGUCAUUCGGAAGGAAAGGCUGGUUACUUUGAAUAGACGCAUAGCUCACUACUGAGGAGAAGUCCUCACCAAGGACUGUUGGAAAGAAGACCUGUGUGUAUUCAUGCUCGAGUCCAGACCCCAAUCUGAACCCAUUUGAAGUGCCUCCCUCCCUCCUGCCCCUCCUCCCUGUCCUCCUCCUCCUUUUUCUUCUUCACAGUGAUGUUGUUCUGGACCCACUGAACUUGCUGCUGGACAGCACUUAGAAUGGUGCCCUAAUGCCUGGCACAUAGUAGAUACUUGAAUAUUUAUUAAGUGAAUAAAUAAAUGCUAUAGAAUAAAACUCAGUCCUUUUUUUAACUGGUGGAGCUAAGUCAUUAUUUCCUGCAUUUGUGAAUAUUUUAAAAUUACAAAAUAAAUUUAUAUUGAUUCUAGAAAAAUAAUUAGAAAAUACAGUUGAUUAAAAAGAAAAAAUAACAGUUCCAUGCAAUCCCAUUGUCCAGCCUUAACCACUGGUGUUAAUUUGCUCUACAGGUCCUUCCAG